This 253-nucleotide ribosomal RNA is filed under the name uncultured bacterium. RNAcentral describes it as "partial 16S ribosomal RNA". It matches the Rfam family "Bacterial small subunit ribosomal RNA", at positions 524 to 776 of the family's 1533-position model. The record is from RNAcentral.
UACAGAGGUCCCAAGCGUUGUUCGGAUUCACUGGGCGUAAAGGGUGCGUAGGCGGUUUGAUAAGUCUGAUGUGAAAUCCCGCAGCUUAACUGCGGAACUGCAUUGGAAACUAUUUGACUAGAGGAAUGGAGGGGAGACUGGAAUACUUGGUGUAGCAGUGAAAUGCGUAGAUAUCAAGUGGAACACCAGUGGCGAAGGCGAGUCUCUGGACAUUUCCUGACGCUGAGGCACAAAAGCCAGGGGAGCAAACGGG